This 1036-nucleotide long non-coding RNA is filed under the name Struthio camelus australis. RNAcentral's name for it is "lncRNA (ENSSCUG00000008779.1)". Lineage: Eukaryota; Metazoa; Chordata; Aves; Struthioniformes; Struthionidae. The record is from RNAcentral.
CUUGAAAAUAAUUAUUAUUGGCAUCACAUAACAAGAAGUGCUAUAACCAGAGUAAUUUUGUUUAUUUUUUAACUGGGAAACAGUAAAGUUCAGGUGUCAGUAGAGAAGCACUGAUGAGUGAAAAUGAUAAAAUCUUUUUUUGCAUGCCUUUUUUUUUUAUUUGUUAAGAGAAGCCUGAUGUUGGCACAUGUCUUAAUGAGUGCAUCAUUUUUGUGUUUUUUCUUUCAUUUUUCAGCACAGCUGACACAGUCCUGGAAGCACAUGACGAUAUUGAAUUCUACUAGACCAGUGAAACUGAUAAGUUUGUUCGUUCAUGCAAAGGACAGAGAUCAUUGGAAUCAGCUUAUACUGUAUCUUUCGUACUGUGCUUUUACACCUGAUGGAAUUCACGAGCUUCCAGAGGUGUCCUGCUGCCAGAGAACAAGGCACGUCUGAGGCAGAAUGACUACAGUCCCCAGCACAGCACAGACGAGGGCCGUGGCUUUCUUCAUGGCUCCUGCACCAGACACAGUUCUCCAGCCAAUAGAGGUCACUCCGUUCUGGAUGAUUUGUCGGUCAUCUGGACUCAGCAGCCUAAAAAGACCUAAAGUCUGCUCUUCUUCCCUACCUGGACAGAGUUGCUUUUGGGGAACAGGAGGAGGGAAGGGGGUGCAGGAACUUGUGCUGAGGUCAGAGAGGGCCCUGGCUCAUUACACUGACGAGCUGGAGCCUGGUGGUUGCCAGCUCAGCUUUUGCCUGAACCUGUAAACUCUGUAGCCAUGCAGCUCACGGGGACUAUCAGAUAGAGGAGGGAGAGCAUGUUUAGGGCCAGCACUUUUGGGACCUUUCAUGUAAAAUUAUUACUACCUUUCAGAAUCGGUAGGAUCCUGACUCCUUUUACAUUGAUGGAGGUCUUUCCACUGCCUGCAAAGGCAGUAGCAGUAAGUCAGUUAUCCUGAACACAGUCCUUUGUUUGCAUUUUCUGUCCAAAAGAGAUAUCUGUAGAACCUGUAGAAACAGAAAUAAAAUGUACAUUAAUCCAAGAGACUUUAGUUUA